UUAUGAACAACGCAAAAAACACGUUCAAGUCCCUUCCGUAUGCUGGCCCGAGGUGCGCUUCACAGCUGUGCCCAAGACUGCUGGGGAUUGAGGGACGACACGGAGAUCAAAACGAACAAUCUUGGGUGCGGUGCUUUCCGGCAAUUGCCACAUGGGAAGGAUCGCAAUGAUUGAGCGAACAU
RNAcentral lists this small RNA (182 nucleotides) under Ustilaginoidea virens. Its description in RNAcentral is "A. fumigatus sRNA Afu_182". It matches the Rfam family "A. fumigatus sRNA Afu_182". The record is from Rfam by way of RNAcentral. Lineage: Eukaryota; Fungi; Ascomycota; Sordariomycetes; Hypocreales; Clavicipitaceae.